Molecule: long non-coding RNA, 851 nt
Filed under: Ananas comosus (pineapple)
Lineage: Eukaryota; Viridiplantae; Streptophyta; Magnoliopsida; Poales; Bromeliaceae
Description: long non-coding RNA (ACOM_LNC004586)
Source: RNAcentral
CAUUUCAACAUAGGGAAUGUUUGGUUUGGUGUAAGUGGAGGAGUGGAACUUAAGUUUCGUCACUUUCGGUAUUUAUUUUGUUAUAAGUUAAAAAAAUAAUAUAACUCAAGUUAUGUACGUUAGACCCCCACUUUGCCUAUUUUUUACUUUCUCCUCUAGAGUACCUAACUUAAGUCCCACCACACUUAAAAUUUUUCUAAACAUUUUAUUAGAUAUUAAAAUCUAAACUCUACUUUCUCUAGAAUGAAGUAAAGGUUUUUUUUUUUUUUUUUAAACAAUGGAUUAAUAUUACUUCCAAACAGCAAUAAGUGAUUUAAUUAUUUAAUAGGAUGGAUUUUAUAGGGAUAAGUUUACCACUAUAUUUUGGAGGUAACAGGAUCCACUUAUUUACACCAAAACAAAUAAUGAAACUAAAAAAACUAAUUUUUUCAGCAUCACAUUACACCAAAACAAAUAUAAGAAGUGAUUGAAUUUAAUUUUCAGGUUAUACAAGUUACAUCAAAAUAAACAACAAAAAGAUAAACACACUUCAGAGAAACUCAAACACCGUUAUCCUUGAAUUACAUUAGAUUUAGAGAUUCGUCUAUUCAAACUCUCAUAGUGAAACUAACCAAUGUUAUCAGUUGUGUCANUCACAUUACACCAAAACAAAUAUAAGAAGUGAUUGAAUUUAAUUUUCAGGUUAUACAAGUUACAUCAAAAUAAACAACAAAAAGAUAAACACACUUCAGAGAAACUCAAACACCGUUAUCCUUGAAUUACAUUAGAUUUAGAGAUUCGUCUAUUCAAACUCUCAUAGUGAAACUAACCAAUGUUAUCAGUUGUGUCACUCUGAUUCUUUCUUCAUUAAA